This 253-nucleotide ribosomal RNA is filed under the name uncultured bacterium. RNAcentral describes it as "partial 16S ribosomal RNA". It matches the Rfam family "Bacterial small subunit ribosomal RNA", at positions 524 to 776 of the family's 1533-position model. The record is from RNAcentral.
UACGUAGGGGGCUAGCGUUGUCCGGAUUUAUUGGGCGUAAAGCGCGCGUAGGCGGCUACCUAAGUCGGAUGUGAAAGCCCCUGGCUUAACUGGGGAAGUGCACCCGAAACUGGGUAGCUAGAGUGCAAAAGAGGGUCGCGGAAUUCCCGGUGUAGAGGUGAAAUUCGUAGAUAUCGGGAGGAACACCGGUGGCGAAGGCGGCGACCUGGGUUGACACUGACGCUGAGGCGCGAAAGCGUGGGGAGCAAACAGG